GGGGGGGGGGGGGGGGGGGGGGGGGGGGGGGGGGGCGGGGGGGGGGGGGCGGGCGGGGUAGGGCGAAGGAGUGGCGGACGGGUGGGUCAUACAGCAGCAACCUGGCCACGACGACUGGGAUAAGAUCUGGAAACGGGGACGAAUACCGGAGCGGCAGUCGGCAGGCAUCUUCUAGUUAUUAACGCGUAAACACACUGGUUGCUGGGGUUGUGGCGGAUUAUUUAGUUGGAGAGGUACCCGCCCACCGAGACGAUGAUGCGUAGCCGGCCUGAGAGAGUGCACGGCCACAUUGGGACUGAGACACGGCCCAGACUCCUACGGGAGGCAGCAGUAGGGAAUUUUCGGCAAUGGGGGCAACCCUGACCGAGCAACGCCGCGUGAGUGAAGACGGCCUUCGGGUUGUAAAGCUCUGUUGUAAGGGAAGAACGGUAGAUAGAGAAUAUCUAAGUGACGGUACCUUACCAGAAAGCCACGGCUAACUACGUG
This 486-nucleotide ribosomal RNA is filed under the name uncultured bacterium. RNAcentral describes it as "partial 16S ribosomal RNA". It matches the Rfam family "Bacterial small subunit ribosomal RNA", at positions 38 to 507 of the family's 1533-position model. The record is from RNAcentral.